CAGAUAAAAGGUAGCACCACUUCUCCCUUCCCCCAGGUAGAGCUGUUUGAUAAUGGAGUCGUAUCUGACUAGAACUGAAAGAAUCACAGAAUCCAGGGGCAAGGCAAAAAUCAAGAUAAUUGGAGAUGGACUCUGAUAAAGUGGAUGAACUUGGUUUCUCUGGUGUCUGAUCAAGCUGUAAUCACUCUAAAGUACCCCGUUCAGUCACCUUCAAGGCUAUUGGAGCAGAUUGUUUUCAUCUUUCCUUUGUCCUGGAAGAAGCCUUCACAUGCUUGAGGAAAAGGAUAAAAUCACUGAUGAUGAAAAGUCCUGGAGGUGGCAAGAGAUGGACUCAAUGGAUGAAGCAGAGUGUUACCUAUUCCUCAGAGAAAUGAGUGAAAAAAAAUGAAGAAAGAAGUUGAAUGAAGAUACAGAAGCUGACAUGGUGCUUGCAGUAUAUACUAUCAGUAUACUUUGGGAUUUGAUUUGAAGAUUACUUAAAAUACUCCAAAUUCUCACCCCUAAAUAAUUUCCUUUAGGUUUCCCUUAAGGUCAGAAGGAGAGCAUACAGUAAGAGUGUUUAAACACCUUAAAUAUUAGGUUAAAGGGAUAUUCAAAGAAUUGGUCUAAUUCACUCAUCAUUUUGUUUUCCCUAGGAAAGAACAAGGUCCUGAAAAGAUAGAAUCGAUUCAGCCAAACUCAGCAAAUCCUUUGCCAAUUAGGUCAGCUAAACUCUUCUAACUGGAGAUAUUUGAUAGGGGAGACUAAAGCAUGGAGCCUUCUGGAAAAAGAGAUCUGGGGGAAGAGACCCAAGUGGGAAAAGGAGCCUUGAACAGUUGGAGCAGCAUGAAGUCAUAGUGAAAGGGGGUUGAGAGGAAACAUAUACUUUAAAUGGGUAACUGAAGAGACUCAUAGUCAAGCUUCCCCUAAUUUAAUAUUGCUUCCAUGAAAAUCUUCCCUAACCACAUGGAAUUAUUGAGAACAUAGCAAAUAUAAUCUCCCAUGUGUUCAGGUCACAGCUUCAGUAUUUUGGCCAAUCUGAUAAUUACUUGGCCCAUAUCUCUGAGUGAGUCCAAGUGCUUGCUCUAUGAGUUUGGUUCCCCUCUCCCUUUAGUAAAAGGAAAGAAAAGGAAUCCCAGCAGACCUUGCCCAUAUCCACCCUUUUGGGUGUGGCCUUGGGAAGAGCCUGUCUUUGGCCACUAUUCCCUUCCUCAGAGGUCACUCUUCCCCACACUGGGUCAGGAGGGGGAAAGACCCAGUUCAUAGACACCCAAACCUUAACAGAGACAAUAGCCCCAGGUUCAAUUGGAAUAUUUUUUCUGCUUUUGGGGGGAAUUUAUAAAAUUAUUAAUAAAAUACAAAAAUAAUAGUUUUUUAUUCCCCCAGGCAGCAUCUCUCUGCCAAGCUGGAAAAAAUCCUUCCCAAUUAGUUAUACCCUAUGAAACUAAACAACCAAAACCUAUCCUGCUGCACUCUUUGGUUAUAAUUAAAGACAUAUACACAGAA
This is a long non-coding RNA of Monodelphis domestica (gray short-tailed opossum), 1485 nucleotides long. RefSeq lists it as uncharacterized. Lineage: Eukaryota; Metazoa; Chordata; Mammalia; Didelphimorphia; Didelphidae. The record is from RefSeq and is a predicted model, not a curated record.